AGGAUAAACGCUGGCGGCGUGCCUAACACAUGCAAGUCGAACGCCCUUUUUCUUCGCAAGAGGGGGGAGGGAGUGGCGGACGGGUGAGGAACACAUGGGUGACCUACCUUUCAGUGAGGAAUACCGGCGAGAAAUUGCCGACAAGACCGCAUACGCUUCUCUUUUCAAGGGGAGAAGGAAAGCUUUUCGCAAGAGAGGCGCUGGGAGAUGGGCCUGCGGCCGAUUAGCUAGCUGGUGGGGUAAUGGCCUACCAGGGCGACGAUCGGUAGCUGGUCUGAGGGGACGAUCAGCCACACUGGGAUUGAGAACGGCCAGACUCCUACGGGGGCAGCAGUGAGGAAUUUUCGGCAAUGGGGGCAACCCUGACCGAGCAACGCCGCGUGCAGGACGACGGCCUUCGGGUUGUAAACUGCUUUUCUCUGGGACGAGCAAGGACGGUACCAGAGGAAGAAGCCCGGCUAACUACGUGCCAGCAGCCGC
This 480-nucleotide ribosomal RNA is filed under the name uncultured bacterium. Its description in RNAcentral is "SSU rRNA". It matches the Rfam family "Bacterial small subunit ribosomal RNA", at positions 26 to 518 of the family's 1533-position model. The record is from RNAcentral.